Molecule: non-coding RNA, 5769 nt
Organism: Podarcis lilfordi (Lilford's wall lizard)
Lineage: Eukaryota; Metazoa; Chordata; Lepidosauria; Squamata; Lacertidae
Source: the annotation of a GenBank genome assembly
UCUGCUGUUUCUUUCUUUCUUUUUUUUAAAUAGACCAACAGUGAGCUGAAAAGGCCAGAUAAAGCCUAAAGGAUACCCAUACUGUGAGUGCCCUUUUGAGAAGCUGGGUUACACACUUACGAGAGAUGACAAAUAUAGUUCAUAAUAUUGGGAUUUAUUUAUUUUAAGUGGCUUCAUUGUCUUCAGCAUAGCAACUCCCUUAAAAAUGGUUUCUUUGAAAAAUCUAGCAUCAUUAAAUGGAAGUGUUGAUCUUCUGUGUUUUGAAGGAACUAAACAGUUCUGUCAUUGGAACAGAUACAAACACAGCAGUGAAAGUGAUCAUUAAACAAUCUAUUUAAUCACCGCACUGUUCUUGUUCUCUGCUGAUUUGUAUAAAAAGCAACAACCAAAAAUAAUUUUGUUCAUCCUCCUCAACAACUCUGUGGAGCAAGAAAUCAUUUUCCAGGUGGUAGAUCUAAAGGAAGCGGCAAUUGAGAAACUGUUGUUUGCCUAUCUGUGCGUCAGUAUUCUGAGCUGAAAGGUCAAAGGCUCUCCAUGAUGAUGCAGCCUUAGAUGCAGGGACACGCUGCAAAUGUGAAUGAUUCUGUUAGGCUAUAUAUGGCUGUUUCCCAUUAAGUACAAGAUAAGGCAUGGCCGUUUUGACAAUACAAAGAAUACAUUACCCCCCCCCCAAAAAAAAACUAGGCACAAAAUAGCCAAAGGAAUAAAUAUAUACCUCUUUCAAAGCUGUGGUCCCUGUGAUCAUGAUUCCCAGUGUGGGGGUUAGGAUGAGUGAAGUCCUGUGCAUGGGUUGCCCGUCUACCAGUAGGAAGCACCAGCAGCAAUAUAGCAUGAGGGGCUACAGGUAGGGAUGUUGGAGAAUUUCAUUGAUGGAUAAAACAGGAACAUAAAUUGCCGGCGUUCACCUAUUGUUCCCCUGUCCAUAAUGUAAAUCAGCCCAGUGAAUAUGAUCGGUAUAUGAUUGUUGCUUUCAAUCCACGAACGACCCAUACACAAAAGCAUUGUGUUCAUUUGCAAUGAAAUUAAUGUGGAUGACUGCAUACAAGACUUAAUAUCUGUAUAUGUAUUUGUCUUGGAAGACAACACUUUGUGUUUGGUAAUUGUUUUUAAAAUUUUCAAUAAAGUUUGUAGAAAAAAAUGAAUGUGGUGGAAUAACAUAAUGACAACAUAAUGUACACAAAGUGAGAUGACAGUUUUUGGCAGAAUACAAACUGCAGCAGAAGAGAAACAUUGCUGCAUGUAACAAAUAGAGUUUGAAACAGAAAAGAAUUCCUUCUUACAUCCCUAACGAUGGUAGUUUUUCUCACAGCCUGUUCAAUAGAAGAGAUGGGGGGAUGAAGCAACACUGUUGGGCUCCCUUCAUAAACCAUUUCUGUAGCCAAUAGUGUAGGAUACUCACUUCAAAACAACAACAACCAUUAUUCCCGUUUACAGCCAUUUGUUAGAAAUUGGUGAGGCAUUUGACCAGACUCCACCCUGCUACUAUUUGGGGAAAAUGCUAUAUAUUGGAUGGAAUAUUUCUUGAUUCAGGCUUUUCUCCAGCAACAGCUUUCUUCUUAUUUGAAUAGGUGGGACUACCUGCCAGAAUGUAGGUGUGUGUUGUAUGUUAAAUCCAAACACACACGCACAAUGUAAGGUAAAUCAAUUUGAUUGAGAUUUGUAAUUUACUCUUCACUGCAACUUUACAAAGCAUGCAAAGUUCCAGGUUCCUACCCUGUACAGAUUUUACAGCUGAUUUCUCUCUCUUUUGUCCUCUUCUACUCUGUUGUUCCCCUUGCUCUAGGCUGCUGAAGAAUACCACUGUGAAGAACAGACAGAUGUAUUUUAUUUAUUUAAGGCAUUUAUAUAUUGCUUAAUCAUAAAUGUGUCUAAAGAGACUGUUCCUUAAGGGUAGCUUGGAUAAUAAUUUUCUGGUGUCUUUGCAUUGAAUAUGUAAAGAAAGCACCCAGAAAGAGAGUUAUCACAUUUCAGGGUUAUUUUAAUAAUUCUAAAAUAAUUCCAUAGUCCUAAAAUCUGUACUGAAGGAGCACCGAGGAUUGCUUUCAUUAUGGUGUAUAGUACUUUGGUUCUACAAGUUUAUAUUUUUUACAAUGUUGUACAAACAUUAUUUUAUGUAGAUCAGUUAACACAUGGCAAAUCACUACUAAAAUUGAGUGAGUCUGUGAACUGCAUACCUGUGUGUUCAUCAACAGUGACUGGUGUCAUCAGUUUAUGUAUAGCAUGGGCAGUAACAUUACCUACAAUACUGGAGAAUUCCUAUUUUUGCUAACUUGGCAUUUUAACAAUAUUUCCCCUCCCAUUUUCAGGCCAUUUCAAAUGAAAUGCGCAAGAGUAACUUUCUGAGGUAUGUGUGAUUGAGAAAGACAGAGGGAUGUGUAGAUAUAAUACUUGUGGGUAUAAUACAAGACUUGAUAUUUUUCAUAGUUCAUAAAAAUAGUGAAGAGACACCAAUAAUAGGUUCAAUCUAAUGAAGUCAUUGUGCAAGUAGAAUGACUUCUGCAAAUGCAGUGGAACUUCCCCUUUCCUCCCUGCCAUGUGUCCCCCACACCCUGUCAAAUCUGCUCCCAAUGGUUGGGGAGACCCUCCCAGAGCAGUUGUGGAAGAGGAAGACGUGGAGAGAGGAGAGAGAGGGGGGAGUUCCAUUACAUGAGUGGAAACUCAACUGUUCAUGCAAUGACUUUGUGGAGUACAAGUCAAUGCUCAGUGAGUCACAGCCAGCUAGACUUCCCAAACAACCCUUCCUUAUGAUGAACAAUAUUAGAGAGGUGUGAUGUAUGGAGGCUGCUGCUUGCUCCUGAAAGAAGUGGUGAAAUCAAAUAGUUGCAGAAAUAGAUCUUCCAGUUCAGGACAGAGGACUUUGUUACUGGUUUAGCUUAGAACAUCAUCUGCCGUCCUGCAUCUUAGUAGGUGAGAGAUUGGCUACUAGCAUGUAGGAAGCUGAUCUCCUAAUUUUGCAGUUUUAUGAUGUAGAGUGGGAUUGACUUUUAUGUCAGGAUAACAUUUACAUGAAUAAUUUGUAAAUUUGUAAGGUAAGUGGUGGAUUCUUACCUUUUCAUGGGAUAGGGCGAGUAGGAGUUGCAAACACAGAAAUAGCAAUUAGAUAACUAGCUUUUGGGAACUUUAAGCUAUGCAUGGGCGGAACUAAGUUUAGAGAGUGUAUGUGCAAUUUAUCCAUGAAAGUUCUUUCCAAUUUACAAAGGCUGAGUGGGAAAUCAGAGAUGGGAAUGUUCAUUUGAAGGGAAGAAACAAACCAAUAUAACAUUUUCCUUUUUUUAGUAUUGGUACUAAAUAAGGAUUUUAACAGCCCUAGAAAAAUUAUCUACUUUCUUUAGAGAUCUUUUGUUUGUGGCUUAUAAGGGGUAUUUUUUAAAUGAACUUACUAGUUGAGUUGGAAUGAUUAAUUGCUUAAUGAGGUAAUCAGUUUAAAACAUGUAAUAGAUUAAAAUGAUUAAAAUGGUACUUUUCAAAGUACUGUAACACAAAUGAUUUUAAAAACUGCAGAUGGCAAGAACCAUCUUAAAAUAAGCAUUCCUACCCCUUUCCUCAUAGCAAACCUCCCUUAAGAAAAUGAUUGUUAUGACCCCCCGCCUACAUACAUAGUUUCACUCAGAGUAGAGCCACUGAAAUUAAUGAACAUGACUAAUUUCAAUGGGUCUUUUCCUAGUAAAACUUAAUUGAAUGCCACCCAAUGUAUCUAAAUACUGUAGGUAUGGAAGUUUUUCUAAAAGCACAGAUAUUACCGUAAUGUCCAAGGCUAUUGCAAUGGUGGGUCUGGGAUUGUGUUUUAAUAUUGUCCCCUUAAACUACUGCUAGGUGCCUUGGCUCAGAUCACAUAUGCUGCUACUUAAGCUCAGUAGCUCAUAGGAUCACACAAUAGUAAUCUAUGGUAGAUUAUAGCAGCUUUUGUUCUUAUCAGUUUUCAGUAUAAAAAGAUGGAAACUACUUGAAAUAGAGAAGCUAUACUUGCAAAAGAACAAAAUAAUUGAAGAGAUUGCGUUGGCUGCUACUGUCAAGUAUUAUUUUCUUCUUAAGAAAACCCUGAAUAAACACACUUUCCAUAUUAUAUUCAGAACAGUCCUAACAAGAUUGAUGGCAGUGAACUAUGCAGGAAUUGUUGGUGCAAAAUGGUUCUAUGGUGGGUGAUCAUGGCAAUGGAAACCAAACGCUGCUUUUUUUAACUUUAUGAGUACAUCUAAAGAGAAUUGUGUUUUUCUAAGGAUUUUACCAUGUGGAAAUAAUGUCAUCAAAGUUCUAAUUUCAGACCUGUACAGUGAUUGAUUGCAAGCCUUAAAGUGCUAUUUUAUUGUAACCACACACACAAAAAGUGUUCUUUGUGAUAAAUGGUUGACUGAAUAUCGCUUGCUUAGGUUUUAAAAUGAGGCAUUGCCUCUGAAGUUAUUUGUUAAUAUGGGAUUUCAGCUUAGACUAAUGUUCAGAAUAGCUACUGAUAUACUGGAUAGGAGGAUGGACAGAUUUUGCAGCCCCUAGGAAAUAGAGGUUGGGCCUUUUAAGUAAAUUGGGCAAUCCUUUUUAUAUUUAUGGUGAUUGCUUUUCGCUUUACAUUCAUAUUGACUGUUGCUCCUACAGCCAGACUCAACAGUCUGUUUUCGCUCUCUUGGUUAGCACUCGCAGUAUCCCAUGGGUUUUUGGAAGAUUCUCACUGUGUGAGGAAACCUUGUAAUGGGUCAACCAGCGCUAAGACCAAAAAACAGCAGGAGUCAAGAUAACUUCAACAGUUUCAUUUAUGUGUAAACAACAUGUCAACAGCUCAGCAUAGCAGCUAGGGCUUGCUACACAGGCAAGACUUAAGGUUCUAGCUAGUUCCCACUGAGUUCUAAAGGGAACCACCCCCCACCCCCCCAGGAAGGGAAGUUAGAAUUACAGAUCAGGCUCUCUCUUAGAGAAACAUUGAUUCUCCCUUGGAGAAUGACCAACUUGCGGCUUCAGGUCAGUUUCAGGUACAAAGAAUCAGUGUCAAAGUAACUUUGAUUUUUUUCCCCUUGGUGUCAGAUGAGAUUUCAAGUUAAAUCCCCCUCAGUCUUUCCUGUAAAUCAGUGAAACCCAUUCCUGGCCUUCUGCUAGUAGUUAAAGUAUCUGUUGCAGAGAAAAGGGGGCUGAAAUAUUAGCACCUUUCCCCUCAUACUUUUCCUAUCUGUUUCAGAGGAUAUCUUCCAGCCACAGUGAUAUAGUCUCUUUGCCAGCACAUUAACUCACCUUGUUCCUUCAGCUUUGCUGCCAUUGGCAGCUCUUUUGGAUACUUCUUCACUGAGUUCAUGAAUAUAAAUGCAUAAUUCCUUGGGGGCAAUUGAUUCUAUUAAUAUAAAACAUAUGUACAGCCACCGCUGCUAAUGGGAUUUUGCUCCAUUUUAUAAACAGUAUUGGAUUUAAUUUGCUGGAGGUAAAUAGAAAUGGCAGAAGGAAAAGAUACCAAUAAUAAGAAUCUAAAAAUGAAUGUUAGCAAAGUAAACUAAGCUUAUUAUAGCUGCUGCUGUUAUAAUUUGGUAGUCUAAGGACCUCAGUGAUGAUUACUGUCCAGUCUGCCGGCCACUUUAAAAACACAAAAGACCAUCUCUUCCUGCCACAGCAAUAUCCUGGGUUCCUUCUAGAGUUCUCAUAUUCAAAUAACAUAACUGUGUAUUUCUAUGUGUUACUGUAUGGGGAAGUUAUGUGAUCUUUGUGAAUUCAGGGGUCUGGUUCCGAUGAUGAUGAUGAAGAAGAAGAAUUGAAUUUAUAUACUGUUUUAUACCCAGAGGUCUCAGCAGUUCACAG